UUGCUGGCUGGGACCCAGCUCUAGCUCCGACUAUAGCAAGGCCUCAUCCCCAACGCUCGGCAACCGAUGCAUGACAACACGAGCUCAGGGCUGCUUUAAGGCUUUGGGUGCUGGGGAGUGGUGGGUUUCACUGUGAAGGCUGUUUGAGCCUUAAAUCUGCACGGACUGAGGAAGGGUUAAGGUAUCCGACUACACUUGCUUCCACAACUCCCCCACCCCUGAGAGCCCUGCAUUCAGAUGUGGUAGCAAUGAAGACGAGAAGCCAGAGCAGAAAUCCCCCUGAUCCUUGUUAAACACUGGGAGACCGUGUUAUUCCCACAUUACGGUGCAGCGGUACAUAGAGCAUUAGUGCCAGGCUGAUUUGAAAUCAUAUGGUGUCUUACUGAAAAGAGUGUCAAUGAAGGUGGAUGGUGUCUUCGCUUUACUGUCUGAGUGCUAAAUAAAGGUCUACGCAAAGCA
This is a long non-coding RNA of Xiphophorus maculatus (southern platyfish), 459 nucleotides long. RefSeq lists it as uncharacterized. The transcript is spliced from 2 exons. The record is from RefSeq and is a predicted model, not a curated record. Lineage: Eukaryota; Metazoa; Chordata; Actinopteri; Cyprinodontiformes; Poeciliidae.